Molecule: ribosomal RNA, 390 nt
Filed under: uncultured bacterium
Lineage: Bacteria
Description: bacterial SSU rRNA
Rfam family: Bacterial small subunit ribosomal RNA
Source: RNAcentral
GACGAACGCUGGCGGCGUGCUUAACACAUGCAAGUGGUGCGACGAACCAGGGCUUGCCCUGGGGCAAAGCCGCGAACGGGUGAGUAACACGUGGGUAAUCUGCCCCGAUGACCGGGACAACCCGAGGAAACUCGGGCUAAUACCGGAUGAUGAGCCUUGGCGUAAGCCUUGUCUCUAAAGGAAGCUUCGGCCUCCGCAUUGGGAGGAGCCCGCGGCCCAUUAGCUUGUUGGUGGGGUAAUGGCCUACCAAGGCAACGAUGGGUAGCUGGUCUGAGAGGACGAUCAGCCACACUGGGACUGAGACACGGCCCAGACUCCUACGGGAGGGCAGCAGUGGGGAAUUGUUCGCAAUGGGCGCAAGCCUGGCGACGCAACGCCGCGUGGAGGAUG